UUUUAACUGCCGAGUUUGCCUUUCGGCAAACGUCGGGAUUGUAUGCCGUUUUUCAGCUGCGCUUGCAAAACGGCGGAAAUUCUGCAAUCCUCAGAAUUUGAAAAUUCUUGCGGUUGCAGAAUUUAUAG
Treponema pedis str. T A4 is the source of this 128-nucleotide regulatory RNA element. It matches the Rfam family "TD-1 RNA". Rfam says of the family: non coding RNA found in Treponema denticola The record is from Rfam. NCBI's taxonomy places the organism in Bacteria, Pseudomonadati, Spirochaetota, Spirochaetia, Treponematales, Treponemataceae.